CCUGGCCCCUGGGGGGGCUAGUCCCGUUCGGUCCCGGCGGAUCAGGACCGGACGGGCCCUAGUCCCGGCGGAUCGUGAUCGUCGUCCAGGC
RNAcentral lists this transfer RNA (91 nucleotides) under Streptomyces cavourensis. Its description in RNAcentral is "tRNA-Gly". Lineage: Bacteria; Bacillati; Actinomycetota; Actinomycetes; Kitasatosporales; Streptomycetaceae. The record is from RNAcentral.